RNAcentral lists this ribosomal RNA (252 nucleotides) under uncultured bacterium. RNAcentral describes it as "partial 16S ribosomal RNA". It matches the Rfam family "Bacterial small subunit ribosomal RNA", at positions 524 to 776 of the family's 1533-position model. The record is from RNAcentral.
UACGGAGGAUGCGAGCGUUAUCCGGAUUUAUUGGGUUUAAAGGGUGCGUAGGCGGUUCGUUAAGUCAGCGGUAAAAUUGCGGGGCUCAACCCCGUCGAGCCGUUGAAACUGGCAGACUUGAGUUGGCGAGAAGUACGCGGAAUGCGCGGUGUAGCGGUGAAAUGCAUAGAUAUCGCGCAGAACUCCGAUUGCGAAGGCAGCGUACCGGCGCCAGACUGACGCUGAGGCACGAAAGCGUGGGGAGCAAACAGG